Molecule: ribosomal RNA, 433 nt
Filed under: uncultured bacterium
Lineage: Bacteria
Description: partial 16S ribosomal RNA
Rfam family: Bacterial small subunit ribosomal RNA
Source: RNAcentral
AACGAACGCUGGCGGCAUGCCUAACACAUGCAAGUCGAACGAGACCUUCGGGUCUAGUGGCGCACGGGUGCGUAACGCGUGGGAACCUGCCCUUAGGUUCGGAAUAACUCCCCGAAAGGGGUGCUAAUACCGGAUAAUGUCUUCGGACCAAAGAUUUAUCGCCUUUGGAUGGGCCCGCGUUGGAUUAGCUAGUUGGUAGGGUAAAAGCCUACCAAGGCGACGAUCCAUAGCUGGUCUGAGAGGAUGAUCAGCCACACUGGGACUGAGACACGGCCCAGACUCCUACAGGAGGCAGCAGUGGGGAAUAUUGGACAAUGGGCGAAAGCCUGAUCCAGCAAUGCCGCGUGAGUUAUGAAGGCCUUAGGGUUGUAAAGCUCUUUUACCCGGGAUGAUAAUGACAGUACCGGGAGAAUAAGCUCCGGCUAACUCCGUG